AAAAAGACAAACUCUGGUUUUUCGUGUCCAACGUUUGAUUGUCCGUCUUAUAUGAAAUUUUUUUAUAAUUAGUAUUUUCAUUGUUGUUAGAUGAUAAAACAUGAUUAAUACUUUAUGCGUGAUUUGUCUUUUUAAUUUUUUUCAUAAUUUUUUCGAAUAAGACGGACGGUCAAACAUUGAACACGGAAACCUAGGGUUUGUCUUUUU
Non-coding RNA from Oryza glaberrima (African rice), 207 nucleotides. The record is from Rfam. NCBI's taxonomy places the organism in Eukaryota, Viridiplantae, Streptophyta, Magnoliopsida, Poales, Poaceae.